RNAcentral lists this small RNA (149 nucleotides) under Macaca mulatta (Rhesus monkey). Its description in RNAcentral is "Metazoan signal recognition particle RNA (ENSMMUG00000049781.1)". Lineage: Eukaryota; Metazoa; Chordata; Mammalia; Primates; Cercopithecidae. The record is from Rfam by way of RNAcentral.
GCCAGGCAUGAUGGUACAUGCCUGUAGUUCCAGCUACCAGGGGAGCUGAGAUGGGAGGAUCACUUGAGCCUAGGAGGUCGAGGCUGCAGUGAGCCAAGAUCUUGGCCACUGUACUCCAGCCUAGGUGACAAAGUGAGAUCCUGUCUCAA